GACGAACGCUGGCGGCGUGCUUAACACAUGCAAGUCGAACGGUGAAGCUCCAGCUUGCUGGAGUGGAUCAGUGGCGAACGGGUGAGUAACACGUGAGCAACCUGCCCCUGACUCUGGAAUAAGCGCUGGAAACGGCGUCUAAUACUGGAUACGAGAAGGGUCCGCAUGGGCACUUUCUGGAAAGUUUUUCGGUUGGGGCUGGGCUCGCGGCCUAUCAGCUUGUUGGUGAGGUAAUGGCUCACCAAGGCGACGACGGGUAGCCGGCCUGAGAGGGCGACCGGCCACACUGGGACUGAGACACGGCCCAGACUCCUACGGGAGGCAGCAGUGGGGAAUAUUGCACAAUGGGCGAAAGCCUGAUGCAGCGACGCCGCGUGAGGGAUGACGGCCUUCGGGUUGUAAACCUCUUUCAGCAGGGAAGAAGCGAAAGUGACGGUACCUGCAGAAGAAGCACCGGCUAACUACGUG
RNAcentral lists this ribosomal RNA (468 nucleotides) under uncultured bacterium. Its description in RNAcentral is "partial 16S ribosomal RNA". It matches the Rfam family "Bacterial small subunit ribosomal RNA", at positions 28 to 507 of the family's 1533-position model. The record is from RNAcentral.